Molecule: long non-coding RNA, 392 nt
Organism: Ornithorhynchus anatinus (platypus)
Lineage: Eukaryota; Metazoa; Chordata; Mammalia; Monotremata; Ornithorhynchidae
Exons: 3
Source: RefSeq, a predicted model, not a curated record
GAUCCUGCUAGUGACAAGAAAAUCACUGGCCUGGAGGGGGAUGAGGACAUGAAACUUUUCCUUAUAAAUGUCAACCUGGCCACCACAGAGGAGAGAGAGUGACUCAGGUCCCAAAUCAAAGUACAGCCUGUUUCCAAAUUUGCUGGAAGCCUCAUUCUGACUGUGACCAUCAACUGCUUAAAGAGCAAUUUGAUCAUUUAAUAUGUCAUGUGUUAGGCAGCCCAAGUUUGGAAGUCACGCCAAGUCCUGAAUAUCCCACCCCACAGACACAGUUACUAAUUGCAUGCCCGUGGAGACACGGGAGCAUGCGUUCCAGUCGCGAGUCAAUGAUACUGUGUUUUCAAGCAUUGGAAGCGGUGGGAUUUCUGAAUCCCGCUGGGCUGGUAUCAGGG